RNAcentral lists this small RNA (28 nucleotides) under Bombyx mori (domestic silkworm). Its description in RNAcentral is "ovarian small RNA-37867". The record is from RNAcentral. Lineage: Eukaryota; Metazoa; Arthropoda; Insecta; Lepidoptera; Bombycidae.
UUGCGGAGGUGCUCAUGGGUGCUGCAGC